UAGGGAAUCUUCGGCAAUGGACGAAAGUCUGACCGAGCAACGCCGCGUGAGUGAAGAAGGUUUUCGGAUCGUAAAACUCUGUUGGUAGAGAAGAACGUUGGUGAGAGUGGAAAGCUCAUCAAGUGACGGUAACUACCCAGAAAGGGACGGCUAACUACGUGCCAGCAGCCGCGGUAAUACGUAGGUCCCGAGCGUUGUCCGGAUUUAUUGGGCGUAAAGCGAGCGCAGGUGGUUUAUUAAGUCUGGUGUAAAAGGCAGUGGCUCAACCAUUGUAUGCAUUGGAAACUGGUAGACUUGAGUGCAGGAGAGGAGAGUGGAAUUCCAUGUGUAGCGGUGAAAUGCGUAGAUAUAUGGAGGAACACCGGUGGCGAAAGCGGCUCUCUGGCCUGUAACUGACACUGAGGCUCGAAAGCGUGGGGAGCAAACAGGAUUAGAUAGCCCUGGUAGUCCACGCCGUAAACGAUGA
RNAcentral lists this ribosomal RNA (466 nucleotides) under uncultured bacterium. Its description in RNAcentral is "partial 16S ribosomal RNA". It matches the Rfam family "Bacterial small subunit ribosomal RNA", at positions 355 to 812 of the family's 1533-position model. The record is from RNAcentral.